Long non-coding RNA from Hipposideros armiger (great roundleaf bat), 2076 nucleotides. RefSeq lists it as uncharacterized. The transcript has 2 exons. The record is from RefSeq and is a predicted model, not a curated record. NCBI's taxonomy places the organism in Eukaryota, Metazoa, Chordata, Mammalia, Chiroptera, Hipposideridae.
CAUCCUUUCCCAAAGUCGCGAUGUUCCUUUAACGUAGAGAAUGUUAACUUAUAAUAAAUGUAGGUCUAUUUCUAGACUGUCUACUCUGCUCUCUUACUUCAUCUGUUUCUUCCCAUGCCUAUAUGCCCCUAGUGAAACAUUGCUGUAGUUAUCAUGAUGUUAUAACAUAUCUUUUCAAAAAUCGUUUUGGCUAGUAUAGUGUUUUGUUCUAAGUAAGCUGUCGAAUUAUUCUGCUAAAUUUUUAAAUCCUGUUGGAUCUUUUCUUGAAUUUGCAUGAAAUGUCUAGCACUGAGGCACUGAGGCCUGCCAACAACCAGCCAGCGAGCUUGAAAGCCGAUCCUCUCCCAGUUGAGCUUUCAGAUAAGAUGACAGCUCCAGCCCACAACUUGACAACCCUCCUGAGAGAUGAGCAGAACCAGCCAGCUAAGCCACUCCCACACUGGCCCACAGAAAGUCCCCAAAGUAAUCUUUUCAAUAAAUGAUGCUGAGACAAUCAGAUAGUCACAUGAAAAAAAGUGAACCUUGAUUCAUACUUUUUAUCAUAUGAAACAGUGGAUCAUCAACCUAAAUGUAAAGCCUAAAACUGCAAAACAUUUAAAAGAAAACAAAGGAGAAAAUAUUUGUGACCUGGGGGUGGGCAAUGGUUUCUUAGCCAGAACACAAACAACAUGAGCUAUAAAAGAAAAAAAAAGGCUGUUUUACUACGGGUUUGCCACUAGAACGCAGGUGUCGUGAAAACCACUGAUAAAUCUAAGCCAAAAUGGGAAAGGAAAAGACUCAUAUCAACAUCAUCUUCAUUGGACACGUAGAUUCCAGCAAGUUUACCGCUACUGGUCAUCUGAGCUACAAAUGUGGUGGGAUCGACAAAAGAAGCAUUGAAAAAUUUGAGAAGGAGGCUCCUGUGAUGGGAAAGUUCUCCUUCAGUAUGCCUAGGUCUUGAGUAAACUGAACGCUGAACAUGAGUGUGGUAUCACCAUCGAUACAUCCCUGUGGAAAUUAGAGACCAGCAAGUAUUAUUGAUUCCCCAGGACACAGAGACUUUAUCAAAAAUAUGAUUACAGGCACGUCUCAGGCUGACUGUGCUGUCCUGAUCGUUGCUGCUGGUGUUGUGAAUGUGAAGCAGGUGUCUCCAGGAAGGAGCAGACCCAUAAGCAUGCCCUUCUGGCUUACACGCUGGGUGUGAAAUAACUAGUGGUUGCUGUUAACAAAAUGGGUUCCACUGAGCUGCCUUACAACCAGAAGAGAUACGAGGAAAACGUUAAGGAAGGCAGCGCCUACAUUAAGAAAAUUGGCUACAACCCUGACACAGUAGCAUUGUGCCAAUUACUGGUUGGAAUGGUGACAACAUACUGGAGCCAGGUGCUAACAUGCCUUGGUUCAAGGGAUGGAAAGUCACAUGUAAAGAUGGCAGUGCCAGUGGAACCACGCUGCUUGAAGCUCUGGAUUACAUCCUGACACUAGCACAUCGAACUGACAAGACCUUGUUCUGUCCCUCCAGGAUGUCUACACAAUUGGUGGUAUUGGCACUGUCCCCGUGGGCUGAGUGGAGACUGCUGUUCUCAAACCCAGCAUGGGGGUCACCUUUGCUCCAGUCAAUGCAGCAACUAAGUAAUGUCGGUUGACAUGCAUGAUGCAGCUUUGAGUGAAGUUCUUCCUGGGGACAAUGUGGGCUUCAAUGUCAAGAAUAUGUCUGUCAAGGAUGUUCAUUGUGUCAGUGUAGCUGGUGACAGCAAAAAUGACCCUCCAGUGGAAGCAGCUGGCUUCACAGCUCAGUGCCAGAUAUGCACCUGUGCUGGAUUGUCACACAGCUCACCUUGCUUGCAAAUUUGCUGAGCUGAACUUGAUCGUCAUUCUGGGAAGAAGCUGGAAGAUGGCCCCAAAUUCUUGAAAUCUGGUGAUACUAUCAUCAUUGAUGUGGUUCCUGGCAAGCCCAUGUGUGUUGAGAGCUUCUCUGACUAUCCUCCUCUGGGCUGUUUUGCUGUUCAUGACAGGAGAGUGACAGUUGGUAUGGGUGUCAUCAAAGCAGUGGACAAGAAGGCAGCUGGAGCUGGCAAGGUCACCAAGUCUGCCCAGAAA